UUGAUAUAAUUUCGCGGGGCUCCUUGAUAUAAUCAAUUAACGGUGAUGGAUCACAAGCUGAUGCUCGGCGAGUACUGCGCCGACCUCUCGGACAUGCACAAGACGCGCCACUACUACCGCGCCACCUCGCUCUCGGAGGAGGAGAAACUCUACCUCCACCAAAUCGACGACUUCGCCACCGCCACCAUCGCCGAGUACGAGGCCAGCGUCGGCCCCGUCCCCGCCUUCGACAACCACCUCAGCCUGUUCAGCCAAGAAAUCCUACUGGAGUUCCCCGAACCCUUGGCUCCCCCUCCCGCUUCUUCGUCUUCGGCUUCGGCUUCGGCUUCUCACCACGAGCCUGCUGUGGACAAUGGAGGGGAUGUUGCAUGCUAAGAGAUGAUCACAAGUCCUGGAGCAUACCAUCCCUUUUCUUUCUUCACCCCCCUUUCAUUGGAGUCGGCUAUCAUGGUUCUAGGGGCUUUGUACCUAUUUUAAGCACGGCUGCAGUUUGACUGAUGGUGAUUAAUUUAAACUUGGAGCUGUGAGAUUGUUAGUACGGGUGUAGCUAUGAACGUGUUGGUUCUGAAGUGUGAUCAUGCUUGCAUUACUCUGUGCCUUGGUGAAUUACGAAUGCUAUCAUCACAUUGUUUCUAUUACUGGAUCAUGGCUGUUGGUGUGUUGAGAAUUGGUUGAAUGUCAGUUCAUAUGGAUGAUUAAUUUAAGCUGUCCACGGUUUCACCAAUUUCAAGUCUGUGUAGUACUUCGGGGCCAAGGUCGGUUUCGCGGCCCAACAUGCGUGGAAAGAGAACGAAAAGAGGCUCUGUUCGCAGCUGCAAGCUCCCAAAACAUACUCCUCGGAGGAAGGAAAUCUGGGAGCCUCUUUGCUGCCUGUGCGGCCGCCGCUCCUCCGGCUCCUUGCCGGCAUGCUGCGGGGAGAGCUCCCCGACCUUGCUGCGUUGGCCGUCACAGGCAGGAGCUCCCCGAUCCCCGCCCCUCCCCCACAGGCCCGCCUCAGCUCCAGCCCCGUCGAAUCGCCGCUCCGCUCCCCUGAGGCGAAGAGCCCGCUGUCCCUUGGGCGAGAUUCACCCACCUGCCUCUAUGGGAGAGCUUGAGCAGACGUACCUCGCUGCCGUCGAGGCCACCACGGCCGCCUGCAUGUGUGACGAGGAGGGGGAGGAUCUCCUGGUGGAGCUUGGCAGCAGGAGGGAGUCGGGAGGAGGAGAUCUCACAGAGCCGAUGGUUCCGAGUCCGCACUUAAUCACCGAUUCACCGGAUCUGCAGGUUCAAGAAAACAAGCAUGACAAACCUGUCCUCUGAUAGGCACUCUGUUCCUGUCUUACUUUAUCAGAAUCUCCUCCAUGAUACAUCCUCGACCAACAAUGAGGUUAAUCCAGUUUGCUGCUAGGUUCAUGUAGUAUGGUUUCUUACUCAGACUAGAGCUAUUCCCUGCUUUUAGAAAUCAGAUUCACGGUCCUUCAGAACACUUCUUCGAAUUCAUGAUGUUCAGGUGAGCAACAAGAGACUUGAUAGAUGGGCAAGUAGAAAACCUCUGCAUUACUGAUGUUUACCUUCUUCUGUAGUCCAAACGUCUUCCAGCUAAGGAACUAUAAUCACAUCUACAUCACAAUGGUUUCUCUCACAACUCCUGGACUCAAGAGCUGCAACAUCCAUUGAACAAAUCAAUAAUAAUCAGUAUGCUUUUACUGCACCAGUUUCAACCAGAUGCUGCUCAGAAUUGCAGGUCUAAACUAAGGAGGAGCUCAAGUAAGAAGAGAAGUGAAGGAGAAAGUAACCUGACGGAAAAUUACAUGAACAUUCAUACAUUUGAAUUGUGUGCAAUAUAUUGUUUUAUUUGCCUGGGUCGGAUGAAAUUCAAUUUUUCCUGCAACUUUGUUUCGCCUGUUAGAAUCCUCCACUAAUUGAAAUGCAGUCUAUUUACUGGUUAAGUACUCCUUUUUUUUUUAAUAUCCUAUUUAGGCUUUAGCUAUUGUGCAAUUAACAUUUUUUAUUGUCUUGGACUGAGCCAUGUCAAUUAUGAUUAUGAUGGGACUAACCAUCGACAACUGGCCUCAUGCGGGAGGUCAGGAGAGGGCAUGGUACUGACGGUGCUCUACAGUUCAUUAUUUUUGUUCCGAUUAAAAAACAGAAGUUCAUUCCUUUUGCUUUCUUUAUUUUUCACUCUCUAGAGGCAAGAUGGAUGGAUCAAGUAGUUAGAUGAUACCCAAGUAGUAGCGCAUGAGUGUUUUUAGUGUAUUUGUGCAAGCAUGGUGACGUUCCACUGGUGUUGAAGGCUCUAUUUCCCGAGUAGAUUAAGGUGCUUCGUACAUCAAUAGUUUAAUAAUUUAGACGAGGCGUUCCAUAUAUUUGUGCAAUCCAUGUGUAAAACAA
This is an RNA transcript of Triticum aestivum (bread wheat), 2370 nucleotides long. RefSeq lists it as uncharacterized. The record is from RefSeq and is a predicted model, not a curated record. The transcript is spliced from 3 exons. NCBI's taxonomy places the organism in Eukaryota, Viridiplantae, Streptophyta, Magnoliopsida, Poales, Poaceae.